RNAcentral lists this ribosomal RNA (305 nucleotides) under uncultured bacterium. RNAcentral's name for it is "bacterial SSU rRNA". It matches the Rfam family "Bacterial small subunit ribosomal RNA", at positions 334 to 655 of the family's 1533-position model. The record is from RNAcentral.
AGAUCCUACGGGAGGCAGCAGUGGGGAAUAUUGCACAAUGGGGGGAACCCUGAUGCAGCGAUGCCGCGUGAAGGAAGAAGAUUUUCGGAUCGUAAACUUCUAUCAGCAAGGAAGAAAAAGGACAGUACUUGACUAAGCAGCCCCGGCUAACUACGUGCCAGCAGCCGCGGUAAUACGUAGGGGGCAAGCGUUAUCCGGAUUUAUUGGGUGUAAAGGGCGUGUAGGCGGGAAUGCAAGUCAGAUGUGAAAACUAUGGGCUCAACCCAUAGCCUGCAUUUGAAACUGUAUUUCUUGAGUGCUGGAGA